UUUGAUCAUGGCUCAAAUUGAACGCUGGCGGCAGGCUUAACACAUGCAAGUCGAGCGGAGAGAGGUAGCUUGCUACUGAUCUUAGCGGCGGACGGGUGAGUAAUGCUUAGGAAUCUGCCUAUUAGUGGGGGACAACAUUUCGAAAGGAAUGCUAAUACCGCAUACGUCCUACGGGAGAAAGCAGGGGAUCUUCGGACCUUGCGCUAAUAGAUGAGCCUAAGUCGGAUUAGCUAGUUGGUGGGGUAAAGGCCUACCAAGGCGACGAUCUGUAGCGGGUCUGAGAGGAUGAUCCGCCACACUGGGACUGAGACACGGCCCAGACUCCUACGGGAGGCAGCAGUGGGGAAUAUUGGACAAUGGGCGCAAGCCUGAUCCAGCCAUGCCGCGUGUGUGAAGAAGGCCUUAUGGUUGUAAAGCACUUUAAGCGAGGAGGAGGCUACUUUAGUUAAUACCUAGAGAUAGUGGACGUUACUCGCAGAAUAAGCACCGGCUAACUCUGUGCCAGCAGCCGCGGUAAUACAGAGGGUGCAAGCGUUAAUCGGAUUUACUGGGCGUAAAGCGCGCGUAGGCGGCUAAUUAAGUCAAAUGUGAAAUCCCCGAGCUUAACUUGGGAAUUGCAUUCGAUACUGGUUAGCUAGAGUGUGGGAAAGGAUGGUAUAAUUCCAGGUGUAGCGGUGAAAUGCGUAAAGAUCUGGAGGAAUACCGAUGGCGAAGGCAGCCAUCUGGCCUAACACUGACGCUGAGGUGCGAAAGCAUGGGGAGCAAACAGGAUUAAAUACCCUGGUAGUCCAUGCCGUAAACGAUGUCUACUAGCCGUUGGGGCCUUUGAAGCUUUAGUGGCGCACCUAACGCGAUAAGUAGACCGCCUGGGGAGUACGGUCGCAAGACUAAAACUCAAAUGAAUUGACGGGGGCCCCCCCAAGCGGUGGAGCAUGGGGUUUUAUUCGAUGCACCGCAA
RNAcentral lists this ribosomal RNA (958 nucleotides) under uncultured Acinetobacter sp. RNAcentral describes it as "bacterial SSU rRNA". It matches the Rfam family "Bacterial small subunit ribosomal RNA", at positions 12 to 964 of the family's 1533-position model. The record is from RNAcentral. Lineage: Bacteria; Pseudomonadati; Pseudomonadota; Gammaproteobacteria; Moraxellales; Moraxellaceae.